Molecule: ribosomal RNA, 253 nt
Filed under: uncultured bacterium
Lineage: Bacteria
Description: partial 16S ribosomal RNA
Rfam family: Bacterial small subunit ribosomal RNA
Source: RNAcentral
UACGUAGGGGGCAAGCGUUGUCCGGAAUCAUUGGGCGUAAAGCGCGCGUAGGCGGCCCGAUAAGUCCGCUGUAAAAGUCCAGGGCUCAACCCUGGAAUGCCGGUGGAUACUGCCGGGCUAGAGUCCGGAAGAGGCGAGUGGAAUUCCUGGUGUAGCGGUGGAAUGCGCAGAUAUCAGGAGGAACACCGAUAGCGAAGGCGGUUCUCUGGGCAUGAUCUGACGCUGAUGCACGAAAGCGUGGGGAGCAAACAGG